GGGGUGAGUAACACGUGGGUAAUCAACCCUCGAUACUGGGAUAGCCCGGGGAAACCCGGAUUAAUACCGGAUGGCCCUUUGGAUCCUCGGAUCUGAAGGAAAAGGUAGCUUCGGCCUCCGAUCGAGGACGAGCCCGCGGCGGAUUAGCUUGUUGGUGAGGUAACGGCUCACCAAGGCGACGAUCCGUAGCUGGUCUGAGAGGACGAUCAGCCACACUGGGACUGAGACACGGCCCAG
This 237-nucleotide ribosomal RNA is filed under the name uncultured bacterium. Its description in RNAcentral is "partial 16S ribosomal RNA". It matches the Rfam family "Bacterial small subunit ribosomal RNA", at positions 104 to 334 of the family's 1533-position model. The record is from RNAcentral.